This 365-nucleotide ribosomal RNA is filed under the name Mandarella flaviventris. Its description in RNAcentral is "partial 16S ribosomal RNA". Lineage: Eukaryota; Metazoa; Arthropoda; Insecta; Coleoptera; Chrysomelidae. The record is from RNAcentral.
UUGAAUGGCCGCGGUAUAUUGACCGUGCUAAGGUAGCAUAAUCAUUAGUUUUUUAAUUGAAAGCUGGAAUGAAGGGUUGGAUGAAGAAUUAUCUGUCUCUGUUAAAUUAUUAUAGAAUUUUAUUUUUAAGUUCAAAAGCUUAAAUAUUUUUAAAAGACGAGAAGACCCUAUAGAGUUUUACAUAAUUGAUUAAGUUUUUAUUUGGUAUUAAUUAAAAAUUUAGAUAUUUUGUUUAAUUGGGGUGAUUAAAAAAUUUAAUGAACUUUUUUUAAUUAUUUAUAUUAAUUAAUAGAUUUUUGAUCCGAUAUUUUUGAUUAUAAGAUUAAAUUACCUUAGGGAUAACAGCGUAAUUUUAUUAGAGAGUU